Molecule: ribosomal RNA, 222 nt
Filed under: uncultured bacterium
Lineage: Bacteria
Description: partial 16S ribosomal RNA
Rfam family: Bacterial small subunit ribosomal RNA
Source: RNAcentral
AGUAAUGUCUGGGAAAUUGCCUGAUGGAGGGGGAUAACUGCUGGAAACGGUAGCUAAUACCGCAUAACAUCGCAAGACCAAAGAGGGGGACCUUCGGGCCUCUUGCCAUCGGAUGUGCCCAGAUGGGAUUAGCUAGUAGGUGGGGUAACGGCUCACCUAGGCGACGAUCCCUAGCUGGUCUGAGAGGAUGACCAGCCACACUGGAACUGAGACACGGUCCAG